This 508-nucleotide ribosomal RNA is filed under the name uncultured bacterium. RNAcentral describes it as "partial 16S ribosomal RNA". It matches the Rfam family "Bacterial small subunit ribosomal RNA", at positions 28 to 523 of the family's 1533-position model. The record is from RNAcentral.
GAUGAACGCUAGCUACAGGCUUAACACAUGCAAGUCGAGGGGAAACGAUAGAGAAAGCUUGCUUUUUCUAGGCGUCGACCGGCGCACGGGUGAGUAACGCGUAUCCAACCUGCCCAUCACUUGGGGAUAACCUUGCGAAAGUAAGACUAAUACCCAAUGAUAUCUCUAGAAGACAUCUGAAGGAAAUUAAAGAUUUAUCGGUGAUGGAUGGGGAUGCGUCUGAUUAGCUUGUUGGCGGGGUAACGGCCCACCAAGGCGACGAUCAGUAGGGGUUCUGAGAGGAAGGUCCCCCACAUUGGAACUGAGACACGGUCCAAACUCCUACGGGAGGCAGCAGUGAGGAAUAUUGGUCAAUGGGCGAGAGCCUGAACCAGCCAAGUAGCGUGCAGGAUGACGGCCCUAUGGGUUGUAAACUGCUUUUAUAAGGGAAUAAAGUGAGACUCGUGAGACUUUUUGCAUGUACCUUAUGAAUAAGGACCGGCUAAUUCCGUGCCAGCCGCCGCCGUAA